Molecule: long non-coding RNA, 38350 nt
Filed under: Durio zibethinus
Lineage: Eukaryota; Viridiplantae; Streptophyta; Magnoliopsida; Malvales; Malvaceae
Description: long non-coding RNA (DZIB_LNC000383)
Source: RNAcentral
AACAGUGCUUUAUCUUUGAUUUUUUGCUAAAUUGGCUAUUAUUUUUCUUUGAGCUUAUCCUGCUAGCAUUUUUUUUUUGUAAUGCUUCAGUUUCAAGUAAUUAUUUGUUUAUUUGAUGUGUACUUUUGUCCUUGAUGUAGGUUUUCAUUGAAGCAGAAAAGUAUGAAGAAUGAGAAUGGUGAAGCUGAGACUCUGGAGAUUACUGUUUAUGACUAUUUUGUCAACCAUCGUAACAUACAGUUGCGUUAUUCUGCUAAGAUGCCAUGCAUUAAUGUUGGCAAGCCAAAGCGGCCAACAUAUAUUCCUAUGGAGGUGAAUUGAUGCACUUUGGUUAUGUUUUCUAAAUGAUAUAUGUUUAGCCUCUAAUUCUUGUCUAUGGUUUGUUGUGCCCCUGUUGCAAUACCAUAGCUCUGUUCUUUGGUGUCCUUGCAACGUUACACAAAAGCACUAUCCACUUUCCAAAGAGCUUCACUGGUUGAAAAAUCAAGGCAGAAGCCUCAAGAAAGAAUGAGUGUCUUGUCUAAUGUAGGUCGUUUCUCUAAGCUUUUGACUCACAUCAUUUCAUUUGUACCAUAACUUAUGUGUCAUGACCGUUUCAAUUUUUUGUGCAGGCUUUACAGAGCAGUAAUUAUGGUGCUGAACCAAUGCUGCGUUCAUGUGGUGUUUCUAUCAGCUCUAAUUUCACCCAAGUGGAAGGUCGAGUUCUGCCAACUCCACGGGUAGAUGAAUGAUAUUUUUCUUUCAGAAAUUUUGUUUGUUUCCGUGAUAUAUUGAACAUUUAUGUUGGUUGUUGAGGGUUAUUCUAAUGGUCUUUCUUUUAGAUCCACAUUCUAAGUAAGUUAUCUUUUGAUGACAGUUAAAAGUGGGCAAUGGUGAAGAUUUCUUUCCACGAAAUGGGCGAUGGAAUUUUAACAAUAAGGUCUUUGCUCUCUUUGCUUUUUCAGCCAUCUGUUACAUACGUUUCAACUCUUGUUUGUCAAUAGUUCAGUAUAUGCUUUCAUAGAAAUUAGUGGAGCCAGCUAGGAUUGAACGAUGGGCUGUUGUAAACUUCUCGACACGUUGUGAUAUAAAUAGCCUUGUGCGGGAUCUGAUUAGAUGUGGAGAGAUGAAAGGGAUUGUAAGUUUGGCAUCCAAUUUUUGUUUUGGUUGUAAGGUUUUUGUUAGUUAGCAUAUACAAAAUUAUAGAAUUCAACUUGUUGACUUAAGCUCUUUUCCAUUUCUCUCUUUUAGCAUAUAGAUCCUCCAUUUGACGUGUUUGAAGAGAGGAAUCAAAACAGACGUUCCCCUCCUUUGGCUAGAGUGGAGAACAUGUUCGAGGAGAUCCAAUCUAAACUUCCUGGAGCUCCACAAUUCCUUCUUUGUCUGCUGCCUGACAGGAAAAAUUCUGAUCUUUAUGGUGUGCACAAUUUCAUCUGUUCAUGCAUUGGCUAUGCAUGUUUUCUUGAAUCUUUUUCUUACAUAUAAAUUUCAUUGAAUUUUCUAAGGUCCUUGGAAGCGAAAGAAUCUUGCUGAGUUUGGCAUUGUUACUCAGUGCAUGGCUCCAACUAGGGUCAAUGAUCAGUACCUUACAAAUGUGCUUCUCAAGAUCAAUGCAAAGGUCUGCUCCUAUGAAAUGUGUUCUUUUUUGCUUUAACCUGUUCCCAUGAUUGCAUUUCUAAUCUUCAGUAGUUAAAUUAGUAGGGUUAUUGUUCUCUUUGUAAUUAAACCUGCUAAUAUCAUAACCUGCUCACAGCUUGGAGGUUUGAAUUCAAUGUUAGCAAUUGAACGGACUCCUUCAAUCCCUAUUGUUUCAAAGGUUCCAACUAUGAUCCUUGGCAUGGAUGUGUCACAUGGCUCUCCUGGGCAGUCUGAUGUCCCGUCAAUUGCUGCGGUAGGGAUGAUCUUAUUCCUUAUCAUUGGUUUUUUUUUUGUUUUUUUCCUUUUCGAGUUUCCAUCAAUUCCAAGUAGUUUGUAAUGGCAUUUAUGGAGAUGUGAUUCAAUAGUCUGUCUGUACUCUGUCUGUACCUUGUUAAAUAAUUAUUGCCUCCAACGAAUUUUCUUGAGCUGUACUUCAAAUUUUGAGAGUUUCUUUAUUGUGUUGAAUUUGUAGGUGGUCAGCUCCAGGCAGUGGCCUUUGAUUUCCCGCUAUAGGGCAUCUGUGCGUACACAGUCACCUAAGCUUGAAAUGAUAGAUUCACUAUUCAAACGAGUGUCUGACAAAGAGGAUGAAGGUAUCAUGAGGUGCGUUUCAAUCAUUAUUUGACUAAACAAGGGACAAGUAUUGGCAAAAAAAAAAAAUAAAGACUAGUGUUUUUGUUGAAAAUUUAUUUGUUAUAUCCUUUUCCUUUCUCUCUUCUUAUUUGGUAUGCCAAGGGGGGUGGGUAUGGGGCUGCUUUAGUAAGAAAGUUGUUUGAUAUGUUAUUAUGCUGGUAAUGAUUUAUAUCUAUAGGAUUGUAACUUUUGGGUCUAGUAACGUUUAUAGUUUGUGUAACCUAACCUUACAUUUUCUUUGAUCUCAGGGAGGUGCUCUUGGACUUUUAUACAAGUUCAGGAAAGAGAAAGCCUGAUCAAAUCAUCAUAUUCAGGUUUCUUUUCAUUUUGCAUUUUGCUGUUUCUUAUGUUCAAUCUGUAUAAUAAAAUAAAAAUAUUCUAAUUCAUACAUAGAUGGAAGAGUACAUUUUUUGGGUACUUGUGAAUACUGUGGAAAAACUAAGAAUAAAUCAGUGUGGAAACUGAAUGUAUAUUGAAAAACUGCUCAUAUAUAAUUAUACAAGAACCUUAGGUUUAUAUACAACUAACUAGGGGUUAAACUAGGAAACUAAAUCUUCCUAAAAAACUAAUCCUAUAAUUGAGGGAUUGUCUAUCCUAAUUUUUUGUCCUUAAUUCUAAGGAUACAAAUACUUAAUUCUAGAGAUACAAAUAUAAAUAUACAGAUUACAAGAUUACAACCAGCUGUAAAUAAGUGUUUUCUCACACUCCCCCUCAAGCUUGUGAAUAAGUGUUUUUCAUUCCCAGUUUGGAAAUAAUUUCUUGAAAUGUUGCACUGCUGAGACCUUUAGUCAAUACAUCAGCAAGUUAACCCUUGGUUGAUACAUAAGGUGUACAAAUCAACCUAUUGUCUAGUUUCUCCUUUAUAAAAUGCCGGUCUACUUCAAUUUGUUUUGUUCUGUCAUGUUGCACAGGAUUGUGUGCAAUGCUUAUUGCAGACUUGUUAUCAUAGUAGAGUCUCAUUGGUGCAUCCCACUUGAUCUUCAAGUCUUCUAAGAUAAUCUUUAACCAUAGUAGUUCACAAAUUCCUUGAGCCAUUGCUUUGAACUCCGCUUCAGCACUUGAUCUUGCCACCACAUUUUGUUUUUUAUUCCUCCAAGUCACAAGAUUACCACCUAAGAAAGUGCAGUAGCCUGAGGUGGAUCUUCUAUCAGUGACUGAACUUGCAUAAUCAGCAUCUGUAUAGGCUUUUAGAACUAGCCCCGAAUUUCUUUUGAAUAAGAUACCUCUUCCAGGAUUAGCCUUCAAAUAGUGCAAUAUACAGUAGACAGCCUGUAAGUGCACUUCUUUAGGACUAUGCAUAAAUUGAUUUACCACACUCACAACAUAUGCUAUAUCAGGUCUAGUAUGUGAGAGAUAAAUAAGUCUUCCAACUAAUCUUUGGUACAUCUCUCUAUUUACAGCAACAUCUUCAUUAGCUUCUCCAAUUUUGUGAUUAGAAUCUAUAGGGGUAUUUGUAAGUUUACAUGUGAGCUUCCCAGUUUCCUUCAAAAGAUCCAUCACAUAUUUUUGUUGUGAGAUGAAGAUACCAUGCCGUGAGUGAGCUACUUCAAUUCCUAGGAAGUACUUCAAUCUCCCUAGCUCUUUUAUCUUAAAUUCUCUAGCCAAACACUGUUUUAGAGAUUCUCUUUCUUUUUCAUCAUCUCCAGUUACAAUUAUAUCAUCAACAUACACUAAUAGAACUGUGACUCUCCCUGAAUUAGAGUGCUUGAUAAACAAUGUGUGAUCUCCUUGACUCUGUUUAUAUCCCAUUGCUAGCAUCACUUUGACAAAUCUCCCGAACCAAGCCCUAGGAGACUGUUUAAGGCCAUAUAAAGCCUUUUUUAGCCUGUAUACUUUGUUUGCUUCUAGAUGACCUCCAAAUCCCGGUGGAAUUUUCAUAUAUAUUUCUUCUUCCAAAUAGCCAUGUAGAAAAGCAUUCUUUACAUCAAAUUGUUGAAGCUGCCAAUUGUAAUUUGCAGCCAAUGAUAACAAAAUCCUAACUGUAUUCAUCUUGGCAACUGGAGCAAAGGUUUCCUGAUAAUCCAUUCCAUAGGUUUGAGUGUAGCCCUUAGCCACUAACCUGGCUUUAUACCUUUCAACAGUACCAUCUGCCUUGUAUUUUACAGUGAAAACCCAUUUACACCCCACUGAAUUUUUUUCUUUAGGCAACUUUACCAGUUCUUAUGUCUGAUUUUUCUCUAAACCCUCCAUUUCUAUUUUCAUGGCUUGCCUCCAUUUUUCACGGAUAAUGUCUCGGAUAAUGUAGUUGGAACAGAAAUAGUGUUUAAGCUCACAAGAAAACUUUUGUAGGAUGGUGAGAAUUUUUCAAAUGAUACAAAAUUAGAGAUUGGGUAUAGUAGAUGCUUAGUACAUUCUCUGGUUCUUUUCCUAAUGGCAAUAGACAGAUCAUAAUUACUAGUUAUAGUUUUAGGAGAUUCAUGCUCAUUUUGAGAAACAGACUUAAAAACUGUAGUCACUUCAUUUCCAGAGUUAGGAUCAGGUUCUUGGACUGGCAUUGGUUUAGGAUCUGGAACUUUCCUUCUUGAGUACACCCGUAAUUCCUUCAUAGAAUCAAGAACAAUAUUAUCCUUUGUCAUAUCUUUUGUAUUUGGAAUGGGUUCAGACUCGAAUUCAGUGUUUGACUUGGGCUCAGCAGAAAUAGGUUUCGACUCAGAAGAAUUAAUGGGUAUAAAUGUUGAAGAAGGGGACAAAUCAAGCAAAAAGAAGUCUUUAUCCUUAUCUUCCAUGAAUGAAGUCUCCCUCUGAAGAUAAAGUUGAGUAAAAAAUGGUUUACUUUAUUCAAAAGUGACAUUUGUAGACACAUAAAAUUUUUUGAUAGGAGGAUGAUAGCACUUUUAUCCUUUUUGAGUUGAAGAAUACCCCACAAAAAUACACUUAAUCGCUCUUGGAUCCAACUUUCCCCUGUUAUGAUUGUGAACAUGAACAAAUGAUGUACAACCAAAUAUUCUAAGUGUGAGAUUGUUUGUAGUAUUAAGGUUGGGAUAAAAUUGUGAGAGUAGUUCCAUAGGAGUUUUAAAUCCCAAAACCCUUGAAGGUAACCUAUUUAUAAUGUGUGUGGGAAUGAGAAUAGCUUCCUCCUAAUAAGAUUUAGGUACAUUUACUUGAAAAAGAAAGGCUCGGGUUGUGGCUAGUAAAUGGCUGUUUUUUCUCUCUGCCACUCAAUUCUGCUGUGGAGUAUUAACACAAGAUGACUCAUGGAUAAUCCCCUCAUUUUGGAAUAGGUGGAUAGACUUUGGUUGAAGUAGUCUCUUGCAUUAUCAGACCUAAAUCUCUUGAUUCUCACUCCAAAUUGAUUUUGGAUCAUGUUUUGGAAGCUUAAAAACACCCUAUUCACAUUUGAUUUGGAUUUUAAGUAAAAAAAACCCAAGAGAGCUUGGUACAAUCCUUUAUGAAUGAAACAAACCAUCUUGCACCAAACAAACUUGUAGAAGGACCCCAAAUGUCACUAUGAAUCAAGUAAAAGGGAAUAGAACUUCUUUUGUUAUUAAUUGGAAAAGACACGUUUAUGCUUUGCAAGUUUGCAAACAUCACAAUGAAAAUUUUCGACAUUUAAUCCUUUGAACAAAGAAGGAAACAUGUUUCUCAAGGUUCCAAAAAAAGGAUGUCCAAGACAAAAAUGAUAAAGCCAGAUUUUGUCUUUAUUGGAAGAUUUUUCAGAAAGAAAUGACAAAGGUAAACUAUUCUUGAUAUUACUUGUGUUAUUUGAUGUCUCAAGAUAGUAUAGUCCAUCCUUCUCCUUAGCAAGUCCAAUCAUCUUCCCCGAACUCUGGUCUUGAAAUUCACAAUAAGCGGGAUAAAAAGUCAUUUUGCAAUUCAUAUCUCUGGUAAGUUUUUGUAUAGAUAUCAGAUUAGUAGACAAUCCAGGAACAUGAAGAACAUUUUUGAGAACAAACGAGGGAUUAACUUGAAUAUUUCCUAAUCCUGCCACUGUAAUAAGUGAACCAUCUGCAAUCAAUUUUCUUAUUACUAGGACACAAGGUAUAUGUACUAAACUUCUAUGAGGAAUGUGUCAUGUAGUUUGUGGCUCCAGAGUCAAUGACCCAAGAACUCGUAAUAGGCUUAACCGAGAUAUUUAAUCUAUGAGAACCGGAAGCUUUACCUGAACUAGAGCCCUUACCCAAGGAACAUACCAUAGUAGGUUUUUCAAGGAUUUGCAAUAAGUUUCUCAGCUUUUCAAUCUCUUCCCUGUCGAACUCUCGUUGUUUUGGAGACAUCUGUAGUACUCCAGUGAUUUUCUCAGUUGAUAUUUCCUCAAAUUGGGUGGUAGUGAUAUCUUUUUUUGAAAGGGUUCGGCAAUGAAGGCCUAAAAUAGAAGUCAGCAAUGAAAGCUAAAAAUUUUGCUUCCCAAGAAGAGCCUAAAGCUUUGAUACCAUGUGAAAAAAUUAAGAAAUAAAUCAGUGUGAAAACUGAAUGUAUAUUGAAAAACUGCUCAUAUAUAAUUAUACAAGAACCUUAGGUUUAUAUACAACUAACUAGGGGUUAAACUAAGAAACUAAAUCUUCUUAAAAAACUAAUCCUAUAAUUAAGGGAUUGUCUAUCCUAAUUUUUUGUCCUUAAUUUUAGGGUUACAAAUACUUAAUUCUAGAGAUAUAAAUAUAAAUAUACAGAUUACAAGAUUACAAAUUUGUUUUUCCUCGUUCUUAAUUGCCAUGGCUUCUUCUUUGCAUUGCAAACUCUAUUUUUGUUGACAUCUAAGCAACGGUGUAUUUAUUCCCUCAAAUCAUCUUUUACUUGUAAAAUGUGUAACCAUUAUUUGGGUAAUAUUGCAUUGAUCUUCAGGUAUUGAUUAUCUGUGUGGUGUCUUCUUGCUGCUUAUAUAUUGUACAAGUUGAUGGCCUUAUACUUUUAACCAACCUACCAGGUUUCUUUCUGCUUGCCAUAUGAAAUGGUUCGGACCUUUCUCAUUUUUUAGCAUCUGCCAUUGUCCUUAUUUUCUGUUCUGGCUAUGUGAUUUAGGAUGUUGUAAUAAUCCCACUAACAUUUUCACAUCUUUGUCACAUAGUUAAGGUUCUGUGAGUAUAAUACCUGCUAUGCAAAACUUUCUUCUAUGUUAGACUGCUGUGGCCUUAUACAUGUCCCGUUUCUGAUAUCUUUCUACUGCAAAUUUUAUUUUAUCUUCUUAUGAAUAAUCAUGUAUCUUGUACGUAUUUCUUGUAAGCUAGUUUGUAGUUAUUGUGCUGAUGAUUCUGUUACAUUUUAUUGAGAUGCUCAUGCAAUGUUGCUUUUUUGCUCAUUGUUCUUGAUUCAACUCAGGGAUGGGGUUAGUGAGUCACAGUUCAAUCAAGUUUUGAAUGUUGAACUGGAUCAAGUUAUUGAGGUAUGCCGUAGUGCCUUUCUAUAAUGGAUCUGAAAGUUGUACAUUUCUUUUUAAAUUAUUUGUGCAAAAUAAAGAAGACAAUAGUGAUAGCGAUAAAACAUUGUCUUAAGAUGAUAGUGCUUGGGAUAAAGCCCCUCUUGUUAAUGUUUCUACUUCAUAGGCUUGCAAGUUUCUUGAUGAGAACUGGAACCCCAAGUUUGCGGUCAUUGUAGCACAGAAAAACCAUCAUACAAAGUUUUUCCAGGAGGGAUCUCCUGACAAUGUACCACCAGGUGAGGCUCACUCAUUAUUUGUUGUGUCAUUUGGUAAAUCUGUUAUGGUUGUCAAAAUUGAUCCUUUUUUUUUAUUAUGCAGGAACUGUGAUAGACAACAAAAUCUGUCAUCCGAAGAACAAUGACUUUUAUCUUUGUGCACAUGCUGGAAUGAUUGUAAGUAUUUCCAGAAUUUUGUUUGUGUUUAUUAGUGACUAUUGGUUUUGGAAUUCUUUUGUCUCACUUGUUCAGCAUAGGAAUUUUUGACUGUGUUAUGUUGGUUUAAAUUUCUAGUAGUUUGGUUAAUUUUCUUUCUGGAUCUGUAGUGAAUCUUUUGCAUUAAUGAUUCCAUAUUUUUAGUAGUAACUUGCUUUGCUUAUUGUUUUAUAAAUAUCUACUGACAUUGACAUCUGAAUUUAGAGAAAAUUUGUUUUCGGGGGACACACGUACAUGAAUAAAUAUAGUCUCUGUUUCAUACUCUAUUAAAUAGAGAUAGAGAUAGGUAGGGAAGUGGAAAGUAGUAGUUUGAAAUGGUAGUUUUUCAAAGUUUUUGUGUUUGGGGUGUGGAUGGGAGAGUAAAUAGGGAAGUUCAAUGAAAUUUAAUAAAAUGCCAGUAAUUAAAGGGAGAUAAAGUUUGACACCAACACAUCGAAAAUACUUAAUUGAUCAAGAUAUUGCCAACUAUAUUGUUGUGCUUGCCUUCUCUAUCCAGAAUUCAAUGUUUGUAUUUAAAGCUAUCAUAUAUGUUUUAUCGUGAAAGAAAACGCAAUUGAGAUUAGAUUUACUCCUAUGGUUGGCUUCUUUAUCCAAGUUUUCCUUAAUGCUUUUGCUAUAUCUUAUGGCUGUGUAUGUCUAUGUAUGCAAGAGCCAAAAGCUGUUAAAAAGUGAAGGUCCACAGAACCCAAUUUUAGGAUUAAAAUGAUAUUUAAUUUAUACCAUGUUAACUUUUAGUUUGUAGUUAAAAGCAGUAAUAUUUGUAAGUGUUAGGUCUUUCUGUGUGAACUUUAUUGUUCUUUUUCUCCUCUUAAAUGUGAAUCAAGGCUGACUUCUGACCUGUGGCUUCUUGUUGAUAUGCUGGUCAUGCUCAAUUGCGGAUCAAAGUCUUUUUCCUUAUUUAUUUGAUCGGCUGAUUUUAUUAAAAUGUUUGUGCUAAAUAUCUUUGAUAAUAAUUCAUGACAAAAAGAAUUGCUAUUAUUGACUUUUGAUGUGUUCUAAACGUUUGUAGCCCUCCAUUUGCUUAUUGUAAUGUUCAUUUCUUUAUAUAAUUUGUGUUUGCUAUUCAGGGAACCACAAGGCCUACUCAUUAUCAUGUUCUGUUAGAUCAGAUAGGGGUUUCAGCUGAUGAUCUGCAGGAACUUGUCCAUUCUCUGUCAUAUGUGUAAGUAUAGAAUCAUGUGUUGUAAUUGCUUCACAAAUGGAUUAAGUUGUAACCACUGUUGCAUUCCUUAUAAUCUCGGUCUAUUGCAGGUAUCAAAAGAGCACCACUGCUAUAUCAGUAGGUAAGUAUUCUGGUUGAGCUGCAGCCCUCGUGUUUGUGAUAUGCUUUUUCUCAAAUGCCAUGUUAAUUUGGUUAGAAGACUUGUCCUUUGACUUGUAUGCUGCUCCAUAUAAUAGUUUGUCAGUUAUUUGCAUGAUUUCGCAAUUCCAUUUCUUAAAGGUGUUUGUUUCAAAUCGUGCUUUGGAUUGCAAAAUAUCACAAUAUCCUUUUUGUUGCAGUUGCUCCUAUCUGCUAUGCACAUUUGGCAGCUUCACAGAUGGGAACGUUUAUGAAGUUUGAAGAGGCUUCGGAGACAUCCUCAAGUCAUGGUGGGGUAACUGCUCAUGGAGCUGUUCCUGUCCCUCAGCUCCCCAGAUUGAGGGAGAAUGUCUGCAAUUCCAUGUUCUUCUGCUGAGACCUUUAAGCCAUGUUUUGUCUAGGCUUUUGGAUUUUUACCAACUGAAACUCUUUAAAGUAUAUUUUAAUUUUAAAGUUUAGAUGUAGGCCUAUCCCAGCCUUUUCUGAUGAUGUGCUGUUCUCUGAAUCAUCAUCCAUUUUGAUUAUAACUUAUAGGGUGCUAGGGCCCCUAAUAUAUCUAAACAUAUCAAUGGUUUGAGACUAGCUAACGUCCAGUGGCUUUUGUCUGUUUGGUUUGGAUUUCAUGUGAUUGAAAUGGUUACCUUUACUCUCUUGUUCACUCUGGCGAAAACCAGUGCAUAGGUUCGGGUAGCAGCAACUUCAGCAGUUUGUACGAGGUGGAUUACCGUGGUGUCUUAAUUCACUUACCCAAUAUGAAGCAGUUCCUUCAAAAUUCAGCUGAAGAGUUAGAUAAUAGCCAAAAAAAAAAAAAAAAACUUCGAGAUUUUCUUGCUUUUGAGUGUAUAUGUUGAGGGAGGAGUUUGUCGGUUUUGGUAGGAAAAAAACUUGAAUAAUCAGAAUGGUUAUGGUGAUGCAGAGCUUUGAUGGUAGUAGGCAAGGAAUCAUUUUUCAGCAGAAAAGGUGGGAAAAAUCUUGGACAAUGAUGGCUACUCUCAUCCCUUCGAAGCAGUAGCCUCGGCCGCUUAUAUGAAGUGAUGUUCUUGAUGAAGUUUUCGCCAAUGCAAGUUUAGCUUGUCUUGUUAACUAGUAGAACAGUGUAUAGCUGCUUGUUGAAUCCGAAAUCUGAACUCAACAAAAUGAAAUUCAGAACUGUCGAUGUAACUCAACUUUAGACCAAGAAUGCUAAGCUGCAGAAGUAGAGAACAAUAAAAGACUUUCCAGGAAGAUAAAUGUUGAGCAACAAAGAGAAUUUACAGAGCUAAUCAGUGAAGUUACAUUUGGUUUCCAAGUACAAAUUCCUCCAACUCUGUGUAGAAUUGGCUGACUGCUCUGUGUGUUCAGAACUGUUAUCAUCAGCAGCACCAGACAGGCAAGUAUUAUCUUCAAACCUUUGAUUUUCGCCAUUCUUUCUCCAACCAAAACUUUGUCUCUCUUAAUGGCUAUUUCUUGCUAACAAGGCUAAUGAGCUACCAACACAUGCAAUUCACAUUCAUAUCUAUAAUCAUAGAACUCUUUAAGAGUUUGUAGGAAGAAACUUGGUGCCUCUUAUAUUCACAAAAUUUCCAUGGUCAAUAAUCACCCUUACUAUUGUUUUCAAACAGAUACUUACGGUGAAUUAUGUGUGAUUAGUGUUUAUUCUGAUUCUAGAACAUCUGCUGUGGAUACUAAUCAAAGAUUUAAAGAAUGUUAGAAAACAUGUGAAGAAUUUAGCUGAUAUAGAAGAACAUGGAUGGGAUGUUAUUCCACUCUUUCUCCCACAACAGUUUGAAGUCCGUUUCAGUAUGAAAAUUAGAGGCUAUUCCUUGAUAAUAAGGCUAAUGAACUACUACCACUCCAGCACCUGCAUUUCAGAUUGAUAUCCCUAAUGGAAGACCUUUAAGUUUCAGGUGUUAUUGUAGUUAAACCAUCAAAAUAAAUGUAAACAACUGCUUAUAUAUAUAUAUGUAUAUGUAUAUGUAUAUGUAUAUAUUCCUCUAAAUGUAAUUCCAUUUCAUCUGACUAAUAAUAGUUUUUGGAAAGAAAAUCAAGAACACCACGGUGGCCAGCAGAGGCUGAAAACUUUGGCUCCAAGAAUUUGAUGGAGGACUACUUUUCCCUGGAGAGGGUGCCGGAGAUGGUGAGAUAUCUUCAACAUUGCCAGCAACUUUCAUUCCAUGUAAGCAGAAGCCUCUGCCCGUGAUGAAGUAACAUCGCCUUUCUUCUUUCAGUUCAAGCACAUCUCGCCCACCUCAUGUUAUAUUUGUCAUGAAAAUUUUCUCAUUACAUUUCUAUUAGCUGGUUUUGUUCACUUCCAGAACACCAUAGAGGUUCUUGUCAAAUCAAAAUUUGCUAAACGUAUUCUCACUAAAUUCUUCUUCAAGUAAAAGUACUGUAAAAACACAUUUUCUUAUUACUGGUUAGCAUUUUUCCCUUCCUACUUUUUGUAAAUUUUCAUGUGCUAAUGGACAUGAUCAAUGGAUGUUGUGGGACAAUAGUGUAUCAGAUUAGGAUACGAUUUCGGAGUUAUUAAGAACUUGUUGACUUGAAUGACCUGAUGAAAUUUAUUUAUUUAUUAGAGAUAAAAUUAAUUUGUAGAUUGCAUGACAGGUGCAAAAAUAUAAGGAGUUAGCCAAAUCUGCUGGUUGAUUCUGAUAGACAUCUUCUAGAAACCCAUAGUUUGGUAAAAGAAUCUCUGUUAGAUUACCAUGUUAGAAAAAAGAAAAAAAAGAUUAAAUGAAGGAUUACUUCACGUUAACACAGGUUAUUCCAUGCUAUCACGUCAUUUUCAUUUAAAUUGUGUUUUAUGCUGUCACGACGUAUCCUACGUCCAUUUAAAUUGUCACGUCAACAUAUAUUAACAUGAAAACAUAUGCUGAGAUUGUAUCUGUCAUAGGUAAUAUUUGUCUAGAAAGAAAGAAAAGAGAGACCAAGAAAUCUAUUAAGGAGGGAUGGACCUCCCAUAAUCUUCGUUUCAUCUCAGAAAAGCUACGUUGAACAUACCGAGCAGCCAAUGUAAACAAUUCCAGAAGUAGGCCAUGGACUCAACUCAAGCUGUCUAAAUACAGCUAAUAGCCAUUUAUAAUUAAAAUUCCAUUCAUCAAGAAGUAUAAGCAUCAGCAAACAGACCAAAAGCAGAUAGAUAUUGCUUGUAAAAGGUCAAACAUGAGAUAAAGCAUUAAGUGUAAGAUUAAAAAUUAAUCUCUUAUUGUUCAUUUUUCACAGUUUCUACAACUUUUUUUUUUUUUUUUUUUAAUGUUUUUCAGUUUCCCUUAUGUACAACAAUGCCGUGGGGAAGUGAAAUGAAAAUGAUCAAAGAAAAGCACAGGCGCCACCCACCUCUACAAGCUUGCAGGCAACUCAAGAAAAAAGGAUAUACCCUCGAGUCAGAAAGCCUAAGAAAAUUAGGAAACAAAAAUGCAAAGCCUAGGUAGUCAGCAGCCGCACAGAGGUGUAGAACCCCUCAAUGUACAAUGUACAAAACCAUCUUUCCUUGGUAUUCAAGCCAAAUGAUAUAUAGACCAUGAACUCCUACUCUCUGGUCCAGUCAUCAGGGUUGAUCUUCAAAAUUGGGAUUCAAAGCCACUAGGAAUGAAGGACAUCACUUGUAGUUAAUGGCUGUCCUCUCUUGUGCUAGUAUUCCUCUCUUUGGCUCGGAAAUCCUCCAAGUGCUGGUAUUCUUCCCUUAGUAACCUAUCCAAUUCUGGAUGUUUCUUUAAGGGCUCUUUCUGGUCUCUGAAGUGAUGGAAUGCCCUGCCAGACACGAGAAUUCUAAAUUUAGAGGAAGAUGAAGUGGAAAGACUAGUUCGUACAGCAGCCUUAGAUUUUUAGAUUAAUCCUUGUGUUUCAUAUAGAGAAUUCUAACAACAAUCUUCUCUUUUUGGUGGUCUUGGAUUGAAGAAAAUGUCUAAAUAUGAGACAAGAAAAGAUCUACCAUGAAGAUCAUUUAGUCACCAUAAACCAAUAUCCUAGAUUUCAGAUGGGUGAUGUUUGUCUCUGUUCCCGGAUGAGGGGAAAAUAUUUUGACCAAAAGAGCCUUAAAUCUUAAACAUGCAUCUUGGCAUGAUAGUUUUUUCCUUUCAGAAAAUUUUAAGGAAUCCACUUUCUUAAGCUUUUAAUAACAAAUAAUGCAAAAUAGAUUCAGAACAACUCUAUAUUUGUUGCUUACAGGUGUAUAGUUUCCUUCUUAAUUGUGCUAGGUGCAAACUAUCAGCAGCAAUUUCCACUAUCUGUUGUUUUCCUUUUCUCUUUGGAUAUAUGACUUCAUAAGUUUUUGGAGAACUAUAUUAAAGGAUUUCAAGUAUAAUCCCUGAAACCAAAUCUAUUAAAUAUAAUUAAUCCUAAUUUUCUUUCGUCUCAAGAUUCAAGAGUCUUUAUUUCCAUAUAUCUAUCUGCAUAUCAGUCAUCACUUAGUUUAUAUCAAUGUUGUUUUCCUUCAAUAAAAGUUAAUUCUACACAGAAAAUAAUAAACUAAAAAAUUAAUAAUGAUAAACAUAAGCAUGCAGUGCCCAUUCUGAAAGCAGCCAAUUAAAUGUUCCAUGAUAAUAGAGGAAAAAGGAAAUUACCAGUAUUUUUCAAGGCCAUAAAGAUUGCGUCUAUGAUAGAAAUCAAGGGUAAGUUGCUCAAAAUCCUUAUAAAGAUCAUCUCGAUAUUUCUUCUCUAAGCCAUAACUGAAAAAGGAAGAACUUAAUUAAUAUAUACAUAGAUAAGAAAUAAGAUGCAAAACCUUCUGUCUACUAAGGAGAAAAUAGUUUGCUAUAAAUGAAACAAACUUGUAAGGGUUGAAACAAAAGCAGAGUCAAAACUUCAGAGGUCAUUCAAAGAGACAUAAAAGCAUGCAUAAUAAUCAAUGUUACCUAUAAAACCUGAAAAGGCACUCUAUCCCAUAAUUGUAAUUAGCAGAUGCAUCUUCAAGAGCGAGUUUUCGGAACUCAUUAUACAUAGAAGGGACAAACAUGUCCCUAAGGAAAUAUGACCAAAACCUGUACAGUGAAUUCAUUUCCUGCAUGCAAAACCAAGCGACACCAUAAAAAAAAAGUUUCAUUUCUGUACAUCUAGAGAAAUGCAUGAGAAGGAAACUUAAGAUAUUGAAAAAAUGCAAAAGCUCAGGUGCCGUAGACUGGAUGGGUCUAUAAAUGCAAUAAAAAUGAAGAAAUAUGCAUAAACAUAUAUGAAGGAAAAGGAAGACCAUUCAGUUUUUUAAACUACAAACAGUGAUCUAAGAGGACAAAACAAAAUGACAGUACCAAAUUCAGGGCUUCAUCCUCCAUUCAGGCACGCUGUAUUCAAUUUUCUUCCAUUACAAAUGGUCAUAAUAAGGAGGUAAAAAAAUGAAAACAUACCAGACAACCCAGUUUUUGUGACUCAGACAACUGAUUACCAAUAUGAAACAAAGAGAAAUUUCAACAAGAAGUAUAAGAGUAAAUAUUUUGAGUAGAAGUUACUUAGAAAUGUUAAUUAUUUAAACAAUAGAAAUUGUGCAAUAGUUGUUCUUUCAUUUCAUGUAAAACAGUUAAUUAAGAGCUUAGAAAGUUCAGAUAUAAAGUCCACCUCACUGCAACCAAUUCCCAACUUCUUCCUGUCAUGCAGGCAGCGCUUGUGAAACUUUAGGUACCUGAAUGUAACAACAACUGAAUUAGCCAACUUUUCUUUGCAAGAGCUCUUUCUCUCUUUGGUACAACAAAAAUCUCACAUAGUCAUGAUAUUAUAUGUGGAACUGUGCAAAAGUAUACACAAAUACAUACAUAUAUUAGAGAAAAAAUCCACCAUCCCUUACUUCUGUUGCUUAAAACCAUUUUCUUCUAACAGCUGAUGACUUGGAUGCUGGAAAGGUGGAAAUGACUUUGGCAAGGAACCUACUGGUGGACUGCUAGAAAGAGUUCCACGAGGUGAACAGCUCAACUUUGAAGGCGGCCUGGGGCUGUAAAAAAUUGAAAAUUAGACAUCCAUUAGCUCAGGAAGACCUAAAAGUCUACUCAAAUAAGUUAGGUUUCAUUAAUAUUUGAAACCCGUAGUAACCCAUAUCCUUGCACUCAAAAGCAAGAAAGAGCAAGCCAAAAGAAGUGCAGUUAGUCAUGAUAUUUAAAAUGAAGAAAUGGUCACUUGGAGCUAACCCAUGACUAUCUGGAGGAGUAGAACCAAAGAAAUACCCAACCGAAUUACUUGGUGGACUUUCUGAUAUUAUUGCAAUUGAAUUACGACUAGUUCCAUGAUUCUUUAAGUUGCCGGAGAAAAAUCUCUGCUUAUGGAAUGACUGUUGCUUGGAUAAACCUUUAUUUUGCUUCCUUCGGGAACUUGUUCCUCCAGACUCUUCAAGACUACUAUUCCCAGCAGCAUUUUCACCUGUCUUCAUAUUUGAUACUCCUCCACCCCUUGGAGACCUUGGAUUUCCAUCUCUAUUCUCAUAAAAAGAGUUAUUCUUUCUACGACUAAAUCGUUUAGUUUCCAGCUGCUGCUUGUAAUGAUCAUGUUCAAAGAAUUUGAUUAAAGAAAAAUAAACACAAAAGGGAGAAAUUUAUAAAUAUGUGCCAUAACAGUAAAGAAAAUAAAUACGAAAAGCUAGUGUCUCAACUUGUUCAAAGAAGUAAAGACCAUCACUUAUCACAGCAGCAUGCUCACUUGAUAUGGACUUUGAAUCUUUCACACCAGCUUUUGAUCCUUCGCCUAUCCCACUAUUCUGCACAUCAGAAGAAAGGAGCACAUGUCAUCAAAAGGAUAACAAAACAUUUGACUGUCCAAUAUGAGCAAAAUAUGAUCCAAACAAAAUGCAUGCUCACGGGCAUACCAAAAAAAUAAAAGAAAGAACAUAGCAGUCUCAAUUAAGUAUUAAGAAAAUUGGAAGAAAUUGGGAGAAAGGAGAUGCAAGAGAAGAGGAGUGGAGUAGAAUGUCCCCUCUUAAAGUCCCUACAUCCUAAAUUAUUGAUGACGUGAAAAAAAUGGUUAUCUCUCAAUUUGCAUUUGAGAAAGAACACUGCCCCUCUUGAAUCAAGUUUACAAUGCUCCAACUUCAUAAAAUGGAAGCAUUACAUUAUUCAUGUACAUGUUCAUAAAAGCAAUGCCUGUGAAAUAACCGAUUUAGAUGGGGUCAUUGUUACUAUAAAUAUUCUUUUUGAAUUGUAUUUCAUUGAUUUCAAUGUAAAAUCUGACAUUCUUAUCAUUUUCUCUUGAAUCAAAGAAUCAAUAUGAUACCAUUGAAAUGUCAUGAUAUCAAACCAACUAUCAUAAAUUGCUAAGUAAACACAUAAACUUAGAAGAUUCAAUGAGGGUCUUACAAUGUUCCAUUCUUUAAACAUUGAAUAUAACAAUAACAAGACCAAAAAAGAAUUCAUACAAAGUGGUACCAGAUUACCUGGGUAACAAUCACAAGUCUCUGAACAUCCUGAUCAUUGACAACCAUAUCAUCAUCUUCAUCAUCCAUUCUGAACAAAAAUGCCAUUCAGAUAUUCAAGGGAACAUUAUUAACAUCUAGAAGAGUUUAAAUAUGCCUUUAUACAGAAAUUAGAAAUUUCCCUAGCUCAACAAUAAAUGAGAUGUUGAGCCAAUUAAAUACAAACACAAUCUAGUACCUGUUAAGUGUUGAAAGAGUUUUUAUUGAUUUUUGCUCAAGCUCUAGCUCUUCAUCAAGCAUAAAUGUGUGUGUGAAAUCAUUUGACAGGUCAGCAACAUUUUUUAUUGUUACAUCUGACAAUAUUUCUACACUUUGAGUUCUGUGGUCAGUAAAACUUGUAGGCUCAACUCCAUGUGACUGAUCUGCAUCUGAGAAUUUAAUGUGGGAAUCAGCAAUUAAUUUUGUCUUCAGUCACCAUUUCUACCAGUAAAUGCAUGUUUCUUACCGUUUAAUAGAACUGGCACAGAUGCAUGUUUGCUGUUACUUUUACGUGUUACUUCUGCAGGAUUGCCCUCAGGUGAUACAUGCUCCAAGCUCCCACUAUCCAACGGAAAAUUAUCAUUUUCUUCAGAGUUGUCCCUUGCAUUAACUUCAUUCACUUCACUGUUCUCACAGGAAUUGAUAACAUUCUCUACAAUUUGAUUCUCAGUAGCCUGAGCUUCUGAUGACAAUGUUGUCUUUGAACCAGCUGGAAUCCACUUGGACCACGUAUCACACCUCCGUAUCUUGUCACCCUGCAAUAUCAAUUACCAAAUAAAGACAAGGGCAUCAAAGCAAAGAACCGCAUCAGGAGGCACUAUCCCUUGCCAACAUACCCCACAACAAUUACAGAUUGUCAACAUGAGUCUACCCCCAAACCAAAGAAAGCUGCCCUCUCAAAUUUAUUUUAUACACAUGACAGAACACAUGUCAAAUAACAAAUUUAUUUUAUACACACCAAUAGUUCAUAAUUAUAGCUCCCUAGCAACUACAUUAACAUUUGUUAAUUGACAAAAGCAAUUUAUGAUAAUUUAUGAAAAAUAUAGAUUAUAUAAAAUACCUGGAUUAAGAAAAAAGUUAUUAUUUUACUUGCACCAUAAAUUAUCUUUCAGUUUUUUGAAAGAAGAGAAUUGUUGAAAUGAAACUCUUUGGUCAAAACUAUUAUGAUUUUGGUAAAAUGGGUAAAUUAAAGCCAGUCAUGUGGAAAAGAUAAAAAUAGAUUGAUUCUAUUCUCAAAAUUAAACAUCAGGCUCAAUCAGCUUGCAUACAUUAAGAAUCACAUUUCAAAAACAGUAACACCCAAAAGAGAGAAAAGUCUAACCUGCACUUCGAUAGUACUAGAACUCAGCAGCGCAUUGAGGAUAAAUUGUAUGUCUGUACUCAUUCUCUUAACCUGUGACUCAGAAUGUUAAAACCAUGCAAAAGCUUUAAAAGCAAAUAGUUUUCAAGCUAUGGAACAAGGAAGACGUUACAAAAGAUUUAAUUGAAUUGGUUAAUGUUGCAGCAAACAUGAAUACAACAGCAAACUCCUACAAGCACAAAAUACAGCAGCAGCAAAUAAUCGGUGCUAUACUAAUAUAAGCAUUAAGAGGUAGUGUGUUAAACAUACCCUUUUAAAGUCCGCAAUUGCGGAGAUUGGAACCAAUCCUUGAUCAUCCAUCAAGGAAAUCAGGUAAUGGUCGUUUUGAAGAUUUUCAUCGCUGCAAAAAAAAAAGGGGUCAACAAGUAAUACAAACAUACACACACACACACACACAUUAUAUCAUUGAAAAAACAAAUAAAUUUAUGGCAUUUGAUAUGAGGUUGUAGGUUGACAAAGUCUGAAGCAUAUAAACCACGCCAUCAGUUUUUGGUAAGAACUCUAGUUCUUCAAUGGCUCCACAAAUAACGUGUACACAAGCACUAAGAAACAUAAAUACAUAAGGAAUGCAUCAACUAUUUUCACCAGCAAAGUGACAAAUCCAAAUACCCAAAAAUGACACUGGUAUUGGCAUCUAUAGUCUGGGAAGGGAUAUAAUUUAGCAACAAUUCUAGAUAAUGGCACCAAGCUAUUACAAAGAAAACAAAAACAAACCAUACAGACAAAAAAAUUAAUAAAUAAAUAAAAGGAGACAAAGAGAGUCCUUUCCUUACCUGAAAUAAUACUCAAUUUGUUUCACUAUAUUGGCCCUCAAAGUUACUGUCUCUGGAGAGAACAUGGCGGUCCCAGGAUUUAUAUGGUAUGGAACAAAGCGUGGAGGAUGAGGUCCCCUUACAGAGCCUGGGGAAGCAAUAGGCACAUAGCAUACAGCUCCUAGAAAGUAGAAAUCAAUCAUUUUAAAGAGAAUUCAUUUUAGGAAAUGCAAAAUAUAAAUCAAGCGCUCAAACAACAGCAAAAGGAAGAAUCACCUAAGUGGCUCAAAAGCAGGCCUUAGAAAAGGAUUGUUAAUUGUCAAGGAAGCUUAACAAGUAAUAAAACAUGUUGUGUUUUAAAUGAAGGCACUUUUUCAUAGGGAUUGUGUUAUUACCGGGGAAACUUGGACCAACCAUAAACCCUGGAGCUGGACCAAAGAACGGAGGUCUAGCAAAAGGUCUUGGCCCGAUACCCUGCUGCAUUGGAAUGGGUUCCCUAGAAUUAAAUGCCUGUUGAUGAUUCCAGCCAGGAUUCAAAUGGCUCCCGGGUUCUUGCAUGUGGGGUCUUCUAUUAGAGAAGUUGGUAGGAUAUGCAUUGGGAUUUCCUCGGGAAGGAGGCUGCAUAUUUCUGCAGGCAUCAAUACCUUGAACUGGGGGACCAAAGGCUUGCAUUGUUGUCUCAGAUCCAGAUUUUACCAACUGAGUUUCAAUACCAGGAAAAGGUCCAGGGACAGACUGGUAAGCAUACCAAGGAACUGCAAAGUGCGGUGGAGGUACCAUAGCAUGAAAAACAGGUGGCAUUGGUGGUUGAUAAUAAGAUAAGGGUACAGGAAAACGAGGCCCAUUAUUAGGGUUGCGCUUAGAGCCUGACUUCUGAUAACGUGCUGAUGAAUGCUUAUGAGAAGCAUUGGAGUUUCCAGAAACAUUUGAAUUCUGCUGCCCAGCUGCUCCCUGGAAGAACCAAAAGCUACACUGAGAUAACCAUUUAUUCAUUUUUUCUUUCUUAAUUGCUGGAGAAAAAAAAAAAAAGAAACGUAUACCAACAGCCAAAUAAAUCAUGCCCCAUCUUAAUAUGACGACCCAGAAUAGAAUCAUACACGGCAAAUGCACCAAGAAGGAAACAUAGACAACCAGACUCCCUAAGAGUCAGAGAUGGUUAAAUGAUGUGGGAUUUCUUCAUAGAGAAAUUAUUUUCCAUAAUGGUUCAUUAAAAAAUUUUCAUCUGAGAUUAUAUUUCAAUUCUUCCAGUUAUUUGGAAACAACUCAACUUGCAUCUUUUUAACAUGUCCGAGAGGGGGAGGAAAAAAGGGGGAGGGUCAUGAAAGUGAUGUCAUUGGUCAUAGCUUAGUCUCUCAGAUUUUUAAUUGGCAUAAAAUGAUCAAAGAACAUUACGAAACCAGAAAUGUAACAGACCAUGGGUUCUCAGCAUAUUGUUGAGAGAAAUAAAACCAUUGCUUGUGAGAUGAACAAGUAAUAUUCAAAUCAAGUUUAUAUAUAAAAAAAGGCUAAAAACUGGUCUUUCAAGUUGUCCAUUUGAAAUGAUUUUUAGCAAAACCACAUUACAACUUAUAAUUAGACUUUGUACCACAUAGUUUACCAAAAUCAACUCAAAUUACACCCAAACAUUUUCAAUUUUAUCCAAAUUUUACACUUAUAAAAGUGAUUGAUCAAAAAUUAAAGAAAAACCCAAUACCAAAAAUGGCAAUGAGUACUAACCUGCUCUACUGAUGGAGCUGGAGCAGACCCAUCAGCAGCAGCCUGAGGAUUGUCGGGUGUUUGUUGGGUUCCACCAAGAUCAGGCCAAGAUUGGGUCCCCAUAACAGGAGCGUCAGCCGCUUUCUCACCAUCAUUCACCGAAGUCUUCCAUGGUGACAUGACCUCCUUGUGAUCAUCCCCUGCCUCAUUCUCAGCCAUCACCAUAAUCCCCACCACCACCCACCAGCAACCAAAAAAUUCAACAAAUCAAAAACAACCCAGAAUAAAGAACCAAAACCCAGUUAAAAAAUCACCUCAAAAUUCAAUUCGUGAUAACAAAAUGAAAAGGGCUCUUUUAUUCAGUAAAUGAAUUUGGGGUUUCAAUAUCAGGGUCUUAGUGGGUUUUAAGAGUGAAGUGAAGUGAAGUUGGUUGACAGAGCGUUGGGAACUUUGAGAAAGAUUGGCAGUUGCAGACAGAGGCCAAUGAAGUUUGCAAAAGUGGGCUAAAGCCAGCGAAAAGGCGUAUUUGCCUGCGUUAGUUUUGCUUCUUUUACAUCAAGGGAGACAGAAAGAACUAUUGUAAGGGCAAUUUUUUACUAUUUCCAGGUAGUAAAUAUAAAUAAAUGCGCAAUGAACACGAGAAACUAAGAGGGGUAGGAGUGGAAGUAGGAAAGACGUGGUUUGGAAAGAGUGGUUUUCGAGGAUGGGUUCGUGAGUUGGAUCUGUCACGUCAAAAACCCUAGAUUAGAAGUUUCUUAAUCGGGCCGGAUCCACCUUCUUAUAAUAAGCCUGUCCAUACUCAUAAAUGGCCCAAAUUUUUAAAAAAGAUUUAAAAAACAAACCCAAAAUAUUAUAUAUUAUAAAUUUCAAUUAAAUAUUAAUUUAUAAAUAGAUUAAUAAAAAAAUUAUUGACAAAAAAUUAAGUUUAUACUCCAUAAAUAAAUAAAAUAUUCAAUUUUAUGCAAAAUAAGACAUUUAUGUUUUAUUUUCAACUAAACAAGAAAUUAAUAAGGAUUAAGGACUGUUAAAUUUUUUUUUUGUAUAAAAAGUUUAUUAUGUAAGUUUUAAUUUUAAAAAGUACAUGACAUUGUACUCCUAGUUUUAAUAUUAAUACUCUCCGUCAAUUACAACCUUGACUUCCAUGUGAUUCAAACAUGUUUCAUACUUUUUUUAUUUCAUUUCAAACAGAUGAAUAAUCCACUUCACAAUGCGGCUUUUUUCAUCGUACCUAACCUAAUUGCCAUGAAAAAUUUGUUCUUUUUUUGCAAAAUUGAUAUUGCGAAAUUCACAGAUCUAAAAAUUCGUUUCGGACACUUGAACCUUUUCAAAUUGUUUCUUUUUAAGAACCAAUUGGCAUCAAUCACGCUACAAUUUUAAGAUCAAGGCAGGCAGGCAGGCAGGCAUUAGGAGAGGUUCAGACAGGUGCAACCAAGACCAGCUUGAAGCUUCGUACCUUUGACGAAAAGAUGCUUUGCCUGUUCCAUCAACUCACCUAGAAACAAAUUCUUUCCCCAUGAAUCCAAGUCCCUCAAAGAAGACGAAGGUACAAUUUUCAGACAUGUUGGGCACAUAUUGUCAAGAAGGCUUUGACGAGUUACUUCACAAAUUUUUGCAAUAAAUAACAGGUCAUGCAUAACCAUAUCUAAGAACUUCCAUGUCGAAAACAACACAAUCGGUGGGCAUCUCAGAACAUUAAGUUAGCUGAUUCCUCUAAAGGUCACAAAUCAUAGUUCAGAACUUGUUUUCUAAUUUUACAUGAACAAAAAUUUCUCAUCAACAACAAAGAAGCUAUUUCACAAGUCAUUGCCAGAAAGAACACCGGCAACUUCCUUUUUUUUUUUCCAUUUCUAUGGCAAAGGUUCUCAACCAAUGAGACAAAUACAUGGGGGAGGGAAUCGCAGAAGGGGGUUGGAUGUUGGUUGGAGCUGGAGGUGCAAAUACCUACUGUUAAGAAUACACUAAGCAUUAAAGCAGCGGUCAGGACUACAAAGCCAUUGUACCUGCAGUUUAAAAUCUCAUCUCAUCCAAUAUUGGUGUUAAUGACUUCAUAAUCUGUAAUGCUACAGAACCUAUCAUCAAAUCCAUGGACACAGCAAUUUAUAUAUGAAGUCAAACCAAGGGCGGCACUGUACAAGCAGAAAAAGAUUCCAGGCAAUUUAUAAUAAGGUAAAAAUAGUUUACAAAACCACAAGAAAUCAAGAAAAUGUAACAAUACCCAAAAAAUGUUUUGUCUCACAUAAAACUAAAUUAAGAACAUUUUGAUUCACAUAAGAAAUAGUCAUCAUAAAACAAGUGCAUCAGUCAAUUUAAGAAAAAGUACAAAAAAGGCAUUGUUUGAGUAACACACAUGAAAACCUGAAAGGCAUAUCAUGUCCUCUGCCUGGACAUUCUACCUGUUUCCCAACACUUUUCAAGAAACAAAUCUUCAAGCUGAAACACUACAUUUUGAAAACAUGUGAAGGGGAAAGAGUAUUAAAAUAGAAAUGAAAAUACAGGUUUCAGAUUUCUGAUCUUUGUAGUAGGCAAACAGUAACAACUUUUGGUUACAAAUUUAAAGACCACAUUUGCAUGAGUGCUGGAACUUCAGAAUCACCAGAGUUGAAAACAAAAUGAAUGAUGCAUCUAUGAGAGAAUCUGCAAAUGGAUAAUAAAGCAUAAAAAGAAAAGUUUAAUAAUACAAAAGGUAGUUCAAAAAGAAAAGUACAGCAAAUGAAAGAAUACAAAAUGUAAUUCAAAAAACAACACAAUGUGAGAUAAAAGAAAGAAUAACGUUUCAUAAUAAUGUUAGAAAGGGGGCAACUAAAUAUAUGAAUAAAUUUUAAAGAAAUAUUGAUAAUUAUAUUUUGAUAGUAAGCCUUCAUAUCAGCAAAAAAUAGAUAAGACUCAGAAACAUUAACCAUCUUAACAAGAUCAAUCUUCCUCAAACAACAAAACUUAGUUUGUAAAACUAGUAGUAUUAAACAAUUAACUUAAAUGUUAAAACAUACCAAGAACUGUUGUCUUUAGAGUAUGCUGCAUGUAAAUAUCAACCAAAAAAGAGAAAAAGCAUCAGGGCUUAUGGCUAAAUUACAAGUCAUCGACACUUAGACAACAACUGCCCAUGCACUUCAGAAAUGAAAAGAAACCCGAACUACUCAAUCUUAUGCAAUUCUUUUCAGCUUUGCAAUAACAAAUCUGAUCCUAAACACUACCCGUCUCACCCAGUGGGAGAUCAUGUUUGGCAGCAUGAAGCACAACAUUUCACUCAAUUAGAUUUGACUUCUCAUCUGGUAGGUCUAUUAUGCAUAAAGAUCAAGUAAAUGUAACAAUAAACACAAUAUAUUAUAUCUAUUUACCUUAGGGCUUACCUAGUGCCCCAUGUAAGGUGCACCGCCACCAGGUUGAUUCCUACUGGCGCUGCCCUGCCCCAUCUGUGGGUUCUGAUACCCACUCUGCACUCCAAUCUGGCUUCCAUAGCCUCCUGAAACUUGAUUCCCAUACCCUGCAGCAGGUGCUCCCUGGUUCACAGGGGCACCACCAAGCCCUCCAAGCAGAUUACCAAGCCCCAAACCAGCUCCCUGACUAGCCAGUAAUGCAGUCAAAGCCUGUCCAAGAGCUGGGUUUAAAGCCGGUGCAGCAGCGGCCACCCCAGGGUUAAACCCAGCAGCAGCAACUCCAGGGUUGAACACCACUGCGGCAGGCCCAGAUGGAGCCAUCAAAUGACCAGUCUCUGAUCCACCAGACGAAUACUUUCCCUUCUUAGCAUGAUGGUAAUGAGACUGAAUCUGAUGUUGUCCUUGCGGAUGCUGCUGGUACAGUUGAUGAUGCCCAGCAGAAGCACCUCCUCCAUAACCACUUUUGCUCGGUUUCGGCCCAUCAAUGGCCUUUUGGCAAUGCAAAAUAUGACCUUCAAAAUUCUUAUGAGGCUCCUCUAGGGCCCUUUUUGCACUCUCAGUCGACCCGUAUAGAAAAAGGGCGAACCCUUUGGGCUUCCCAGUCAGCUUAUCAAGCCCCAACGGACCUUCCUCAAUUUCCCCGUACUGUUCAAAAAACUCAAGCAACUUCUCCGGUUCUAAUUCAGCUGACACAUUACUAACAAAAAUCUUCCUCUGGGUAUACUCAGAAACAGGCGGAGCAGUUGGAGGCGGUGCCGGAACCGGUCCUUGCGAAGCCAACUGGCAAGAAGUAGUUCUAUUCCCAAUCUUCUUCUGGGGCUGUUUCAGAGCCCGCCGUGCCCCACUCCGAUGCUUAAAUAGAAUAAAAGCAUAACCUUUGGAUUUACCAGAAACCCUAUCGGUAACUGCUUUGCAUUCUUCUAUUUCCCCAUAUUUAGAAAACUCAGCAGUGAUAGUUUCAGCAGUGGCAUCCCAACUGAGCCCAUGAACGAAGAUCUUCCGAUGGGCAGGGUCCGCAUCCGCGAACUCCCGAACCGACGAGAUAAAUUCCGGGUGCUUGUCGACCACUUUCUUAAUAAGGAUAAUCAACUGAUCUUUCCCAAAUGGUUCUAGAAGUUUCUCGACUGGCUCGUCGUCCAAUUCCUUUUCUUGUUCUCCAUUUUGAACGGCGGCGUUGGAGGAACCAACUAGGGUUUGGUUUUCAACUUCUUCUUCAUCGUCUUCCUCGUCCUCCUCUUCUUCCUCUUCAACUUCCUCUUCUACUUCUUCUUCUACUUCCUCUUCCACUUCUUGUAGUUGCUCCUCUUCUUCUGCUUUCGGAUUCGGAUCUUCUUCGGUUAUGUACUCGGGUCGUUUCUGUUGCUCUUCUUCUUGGAUUGGUUGAUGAUCUGGCUUUGUUUUGGUUGGUUCGGGCUCGGAGAAUCGUUGCUUUCGCUUUCUCGCCAUGGAGUAAAAAAAAGAUUUGAAAGUAACAAAAAUAAUAAUUCGGGUUUCUUGGGGGUUUCUGAUUGGGGAAAGAAUUGGGAAGCUAGGGUUUCCAGGUAAAGCACGGUACUCACCAAUAAUUCCUUGAUCUGGCUAGGCUUUCAUUUUAUCGGGUUGGAUCUUCGGCCCAUGGUUUUGUAGGGCCCAACCAAACUUGGGCUAGGCUCUAUUUUUUACCAGCCUGCUUUAUUAGAAAAAAAAAUUUUUCCUAUGUUUUUUCUUUUGAAUUAUCAAUUUUUGUUAAGAAAUUGAAUUAUCAAUGUUGAUUUUUUUUAAACGAGUCACUUUUAAUUUUAAAAAUAUUUUUAUAUAUUUAAAAUUGAUGUAUAUUUCUCUUUUGAACUUUUUAAUAUUAAUAAUUAAUUGAAAUUUUGUAAAAUAAUGUUAAGAGAAUUGUUUAUUAUUAUUAUUAUUAUUAUUUUGCAAAAUGAUUUUGGAGUUUUGGAUGAAUGAAGAAUGAUUGGUAAUGAAGGAUAGAAUUUGUACAUAAAUUCUUUUUUUUACCUAUCUAUGAUAGCUUCAAUUAUUUGGCAUUUGAAAUAAUUACUAUUUAAUCUAACAAUUGUUUUAGGAAUAAAAUUUAAGGUUUAAAUUAUUUUUUGGAACUUGUUCCUUUUUUCAUAUAUUCAAAAAAUACAUAUUUUUUAAACAAAUAAAAUGAUAUUAUGAAGAUAGAUGAAAACAUUGAAAAUAUUGAAAUUUAAACUCGAGAUCUACUAUAUGUUACUUUUUAAGGGUAUUUAUAUGAAUUAAUUUGAUUAAAUUUUAAGUUCAAAAAAUGUAUAUUAGGCAUGCAUGUGAAAAUGGAUAAAUAGAAAUGAGAAAAACGUUAAGUUUGGUAUGCCUAAGUUGGGGAGAUUGAUUUAUAGAUGUAAGAAACUUUUCAAUCCAUGUUGUAAUUAUAAUGUUUAAAUCGAAGGAAAACAAUAGAACAUAUAAUAAAAAAUGGCUAUUGUAAUUUAUAAGGUAGACGUCAUAUGACCCAUUGGAUCCGGCCCAUCCAUCACAAAUCAGCAGAAAAGGCCUAAAGAAAUCCAAAGAAGCCCCCGAACUAGAGAGCCUCAAUUCCCAGACAACCCGAAUAAAUAGGAGCCCUUAUUUAUUUCGAACAUUCUUACAGGAAUUUGAGAAAGAGCUUCAGUGUGACACAUCUGAACCUAAAUAUCAGCUUAGAAGAACGAGUUCAACCUUUUUCUGACAUGUGUCUUCCGGUGUUACGAGUUUUAUAGUUGCUUAUGUUAGGGCCAUCCCCUUGGUUUGUUGAUGGAGCUGCUAUGGGAAUUCAUCCAAGGGUUUGGAGUUUUGUUCAUUUAUGAUUUUAUGUUGGUACUCAACAGCUUCCGAAAACUAUCCUAAGCUAGGCUCUGUUUUAUUUGGCUGAAAGACAACUGAAUACUUUCUCGGUUAGAUCAUGCUGCAUGUUUCAUAUAGUAUUGAAUUUUUAAUUUUAAUAAUAAUAUUCGAAUCUUGAUAAUUUUAAAUAUAAAAAAGAUUCGAAGGGCACAAAUUUAUCUACUUUCCAAGUGUAGUUUUACUGCAUAUUGUCUCGGGUUAGCUAAGGAACAAAUGCAAUUGGUUCCUAUUCUUGAAACAAAAAAUGAAAAAUGUUACUUGUGAUAACAAUGAAGAUUCUAUCCCUUCAAAGUGAGAAACCAAAGUUGUAAUAAAAAUUUUACUGUUGGAAAUCGAAGUGAGCUAAUGAGUUUGAAACUACGAUAUAUAUAUGUAUAUGUUAGGGGUUCACUUGCAAUUGCCGAUUGCCCCGGAAAUCUUUGUCUGAAAAUAGAAGUCACUUAGUGCAUACAUCAUUUGGAGCAGAAAAUGACAUGACGGUCUUUUAAACGGCAAUAAUUCACAUGCUCAAAAAUCCAAGCCGUCACCAUAGAAAAAAGGGUCACUUUCAAUUAUUCUUUGUCUUUACUUUUGUUCUUUGGUCAAGGAACGUAACUUGAGCGACAAUCAUCUGCAUAUGGAUCUAGACUAAACUUUUUCUUUUGGCCAGAAAGAUUAGACUUCAUGUAGCACAAAGCUAAUCAUGUCGUCAAUCAGUAAGAACAUGCUUCUCACUCACACCGGAUUCUCAUAUCACGAAGUAAAGAGUAAAGUAGCUUCACCUUGAAAGCGUUGAACUCUGCGUUUUGGUCCAAAAAGUAGAAAAUGAAGUGGAAAUUGCUUAAAGUUUGGACCCAAGACGACAACACAAUCCAGUUUUGCCUUUUCUUUCUUCUGGGAGAGAAAUUUUUUUGCGAGUGAAAUGGAAGAGAACAGAACUUCUUUGUUGGAGAGUGGCGUGGAGUACUAUGAAAACUGUCCAGGUUGUAAGAUGGAUCGUCUCAAACAAGAAGAAGUUGGAGUCCCAUACAAGCACUUGUCUUUUAUCUGGAUUGUCUCCCUGUGUUCUAGUCAGUACUUCAGAAUUAUCCCAUAAACUGUAAAAAGGAAAAAGAUAAAAGUUUUUCUUUUAGCAUUAGUUAAUUAUAUUUGCUUUUGGGUUGUCAUUGAAGGGCAAUAAUCAAAUCAUGUUGGCUCUUCUUUGAAGGGAGACAUCACUUUUAAUGGAAAAUUUGUUGUUUGCAGAAAAGGAAUGUCUAUGGUUUUUCUUCUCCUUUUGCUGUCUCUCUAAAAUGAGUUUUAACAGUCAUAUCUUAUUAUUGUUACAUUUUUCAGCUUUGCCAACAACUUCACUAUUCCCCUUUGUUUACUUCAUGGUAUGUUUUCUGCCCCUGAGAAACCUAUCACAUCCUAUGACUUAUUACCUAGGCUGAGAAAAUCGUUUUUAUAGUCAGUUUGCAAUAUUGAUGAUUCUACUAUGGAAGCCAAUAAUGUCAUUUUAUGUUUGAAUAUGUUUUUUUUUUUUUGGCAGAUCAGAGACUUUCAUAUUGCAAAAAGAGAGGAAGACAUUGGUUUCUAUGCAGGAUUUGUGGGUAAUAUCUAAUGCUAAUAUUCAGUAGCUUUUAUAUGUUAAUCAAAUUAGAUUUCAGAAUGAACUAGUGUUAAAUUACAGUAACUUUUUCCCCUACCAGGCUCUUCAUUUAUGGUUGGAAGAGCUUUGACAUCUCUUUUCUGGGGAGUGGUGGCUGAUCGAUUUGGUCGUAAACCUAUUAUAUUGAUAGGGACAUUUUCAGUGUCAGAAAUUUCUCAUUCACUACAUUGCAAACUUAUUAUAAUUGAUAAAAUGAAGUCAUUUAGCAAGAGUAAUUGUUAUUGGUAACUUUAUCAUCACAAGUUUUGGGUUUCAGGGUGGUAUUCAACGCUCUCUUUGGCCUUAGCACAAGCUUCUGGAUGGCACUGUCCAUGAGAUUUCUUCUUGGCUGCUUGAAUAGUGUGCUGGGCACAAUAAGGGUAUGUGAGCUGUGUAUGCAAAUUUGGGUUCAUUAUUACUUUACUCAAGAGGGCUAAUGGUUCAACUUUUCAACUACUUUCACCGCCUUGACCUUAUUUUCUAGGCAUAUGCUUCCGAAGUGUGUAGAGAGGAGUAUCGGGCUUUGGCACUUUCUGUUGUAAGAUAAUCAAUUUUGUAGUCUAAUAUGGGUUCUAGGUGCAUCGUCUGGAGUACCAUAUUUAUAUUAGACUUUGCAUUUCAGGUUAGUACGUCACGAGGCAUAGGACUGAUUAUUGGCCCUGCUAUCGGAGGCUUCUUUGCACAGGUGGAGACGUUCCAUUGUUCUACUCUUUGCACGGUUAUUAAAGAAGUUUAUCUUUCCUGAUAACCAUAUUGUUUAUUAAUUCAUGUAUGCCUUAUAGCCAGCAGAGAAAUAUCCAAAUGUAUUUUCCGAAGGUUCCAUUUUCGGAAGGUAGUCUGUGUUGCAUUGUUUUUUUUUUUUAUCAGUAUGUCAUAUUUUCCCUUUUGUGGUGAUAUUUUGAUGUGCACAUGAUUGCAGAUUUCCCUACUUCUUACCAUGCCUCAUAAUAUCAGUUUACGCUAUUGGAGUUCUUAUUGCCUGCAGAUGGCUUCCUGUAAGUCUCAAACUCAUUUUGUCAUCUUUUUCCUUUUUGUCUACUCUGGCUUGGGGCAUGAGUUGCAAUAAAAAUUCAUCAUGAUCAAUUAAGAAAUUGUUCUGUAGUUUUGAACUGUGGAUAUUCGGAUAUCACAUAAGCAGGUUCAAUAAGAUUAGAUCCAGAUAUUAAUUGAACUCGUAAAACAAGACUUGAUAGAGAUAAUUUAAAACUCUGCUAGAAUGUUAUACUGUAGAUUUAUGAUAUAUGUUUUAUGCAGUAGAAUCAAGGAGCUUCUGCUCAAAAUUCUCCACAUCAUGGCAUACCACGGUCACUUUGAUGUUAGAAAAAUGAAAAAAAGAAAUCUUAAAUCUUACUUUAAAAGCAAUAAGAUUAAGUUGUUUACUAGCUUAUAUGCAUGCAUCUGCCUCCAGUUUCCGUAUAAUGAUUGAUUCUUUCAAAUUUAUUUAUUGCAUUUUGAAUCUAGACAAUUUUAUUCUUUUUGUGGCGUAUGCUUUGUAUAUAGGUGUUUUAUCACAAAACUUGCUAGUAGCAUUUCUAUUGUUUAUUUCCCUCUCUUGGCAAACAUUUAUGCAGGAGACAUUACACAAGCAUGUUGGAAAGGGAAAUGAGAGAUAUGAUCCACAUGAUAUGUCAGAAACAUCUUCAAUCGAAUCUGGUGAGAAGGACAACAUCGUAGAACCUGAAGAGAUCAGACAGGCUCAUAAACCAAGUCUCUUAAAAAAUUGGCCACUAAUGUCUACGAUCAUUGUCUAUUGCGUUUUCUCACUUCAAGAAAUAGCUUACGCUGAAGUAAGUUGCCAUAAAAUGUACUAUCACCUAUGCCUAUCUAACAGAAGUAUAGAUCAUGCCAUAAAAUGUAAUCUUCUGCUCCCAUGUUCGAUAAGAUUUAUAAUGAUUGAUCUUUGCAUAUUCUUGAUAUCUUGAUAUGGUUGUUCAUAUUUCACGUAAGACGCUUAGCUUGUCUUUGCAGAUAUUUUCACUUUGGACAGUUAGUGAUAAAAAAUAUGGAGGAUUGAGCUUUUCAUCCCAAGAUGUUGGUGAAGUUCUUGCUAUCUCUGGUAUAUUCAUACCCUUCCAUGUUGCAAUAAUUUUUUAUAAACUAUUUGAAAUUUGAUGUUUUCUUUUAGAACACAUAAUCUAAUAACUUGACUUCUAUCAUUGCCAGGAUUAGGUCUUUUACUAUUCCAACUUCUGUUGUAUCCACCAGUGGAAAAGGUCCUUGGGCCUCUCACGGUUACACGGCUUUCAGCGGUAAAAUCUUACCUGCAGAUACUGUAUUUCUAGACCUUUUCCCCCUUUUUUUUAUUCUUUUUCAGUAAAAUAGCUAGUUAAUUUUUUUUUUUAAUUAUGCUUCUUUAUCGUCAGGCAAUAUCAAUUCCGUUGCUGUCAUGUUUCCCCUAUAUAACUAUGCUUUCGGGUGUAAUCCUACAUGUGGUGAUAAAUUGUGCAGCCCUAUUAAGGAAUACUCUAUCUGUAAGUGAAUUUGCAUCGAAAAUGUACACAAAUACAUGGAGAAGCUUUUGGGUCUUGAACUUCAAAUUCUGAAGCCAAUGAAUACCCUGAAAUGAAUCAGACAUGUUUCUUUCAAGAUUUUUUAUUUUUGGUUUAAGGUCAUCUGAUUUAUGAAGCAAAUUCUUUGGUAUUGUGUAGGUUUCUCUUGUUACCGGAUUGUUCAUAUUGCAGAACAAUGCAGUGGUACAUUUUCUGCCCAUAUUUUCGAAAAUAUUUUCACUGUAAUUUCCUUAUUCUGGUUUUAAUAUUAUUGCUUGUUCUUAUUUCAGCCACAAAGUCAGAGGGGAGCCGCCAAUGGCCUUUCAAUGACAGCAAUGUCUGUUUUCAAAGCAUUUGGUCCAGCAGGAGGAGGAGUCCUGUAAGUGAUGCCAACUAUUUCAGCCUUUCAUUUUCUGUAUAUAAUUUAGCUUACAUGCAUCAACCUAGUUUCCUGUCACUUCAUGUCCAAGAAUCACUUUCUCAUGUUUAUUUUCAUAAUAUCUAUAGCUUUUCUUGGGCACAAAAGAGACAAGCCGCAGCUUUUCUUCCAGGUUUGUAGUUGAAUCCUAAUCAAUCAUCAUGGUUCAUGCAGAUUUACAUGUGCUCAGAUCGAUUUACUGCAUUACAUGCUUUGAUGUUUGGAAACAGGUGAUCAGAUGGUGUUCUUCGUACUAAACGUUGUUCAGUUUGUCGGAUUGCUGCUGACUUUCAAGCCAUUUCUUGCCGAACCUCGUUCAUGAUCAUCUGAAGGAAAUACCAAGCGAAAGUAAUAACACAAACAUGACCAGAGUCAUUCUUGUACUGAACUGAACCACUUAGUUCUUUAAGUUUAUAUUAUCAAGUUUCAUAAAGGGACUGCAAAUUCUCAAAAUUGCUACAUUUCAUUAAUGGAGGACAACAAGAAAGCUGGUUAUGUGCAUGCAAAUUGGAUCUUCUACAAAUACCGAAUAUGGUUUACUGCAUCACCCUCGCUCUCAACAAAAUUAAACAGGAAGCUCCUUGCCAUAAAUACCCUUCUUGUUGGGACGAGCUGCAUGUGCAAACAAAAGAUCGCCAUCUCUGUUGUACUUCAGACACGUCAAUGAAAAUCGGCCUCAUAUUUUUUUUCUUCUCUUCCCUCAAAAAAAAAAAAAAAAGCCUGGUUUUUAUAUAAUAUUAUGGGUGAUUGAAUUGAAUUUUUUUUAAAAAAUAAUAUAUAAAAUUUUAAAAUUCUAUCCUAAUUGAAUUAAAUUUUAAUAUAUUUAAUUAUAAUUUUUUAAAAUUGUUAAUUUUUAAUUUAAAAUUUGACUUAAAUUAAAUAUAUAUUUAAUAAUUUAUUUUAAAUCAAAUAAAAAUAUAAUAAAUAUUAAUUUACACCAAAUCAAAUAAUACAAUUUCAAAUCGAUUUUUUCAAAUUUUUUUCUCAUUCCUAUAUAAACAUCUAACAAAUCUAAACAUAAAUAUAUUAAUUCGCAAUUUUAGGGCGUAAUGUUUCAUUUUAUGGUGUGAUCUUGAGCUUUUGGUUGUUGCCAUGAUCCAAACCAAAAUCACCACAAGCCCAAUUACUCUUUGGACAACCGUCAGAAUCCUUUAGAGAGCCGAAGAUUAGCUCGACAUUGGAAAAAUUAGAGGUUGGCUGCUGUUGCCGUGUGUUUUAUAUUUUAGGUUUUUGAAAUUUUGUUUUAUUUUAUUUUUAAUUUAUUGAAUUUAAAAAUAUAUUUGAAUAGAAUGUUUUUGUUAUAAAAACAUGAAAAGAAAAUGAUUAAAAUUUUUAGACUCUAUUUAUUAUUAAUAAUAUAAUGAUGUUAAUAUAUUAAUAUAUUAUUUUGAAUAUAAUAAUUUAUAUAAUAAAAAUAUUUUUUUAUUAAUAUAAUAAUGAUAACAUCAUUUAAUUAUAAUUUUUGUGAAUAGAACUCAUACGAUAAGUGUCAAAUUAUUUUAAAAAAUUAAACAUAUAAUUUUCAAAAUUUUUUAAAACUUUGAUUUUAAUUUUCAAAAAUAAAAAAUAAAAAAACUUAUCAAACAUAUUUUUGUUUUCAAUUUAAAAAAAAAUUGAAAAUACGAAAACGUUACUAAGGAACUCUUAAUAUAUAUAUAUAUAUAUAUAUAUAUAUAUAUAUAUAUAAAAGAGGACUCACAAAAUCAAAAUAUUAACGGCUUCAAAUUAACUUUUCCCCUUUUAUUUUAUCAAUUGACAUGCAGUAACUUUUAGUUUGUCUGCGAAAGGACGACAAAUGAAAAAAGCUUUUGAUUCAGAGCAACCGUUUCCCGGCAAUGGCAGUUUGAUCACGUUCCCAGUGUCAAUCUCCGUAAAUAAACCGAAAACCAGUACCCUUUAAGACCCUUUCUUUAUUCGAUAACCAAAACGGGUUUCUUUUUUUUUCUUCUCACAAUUUUUUGUUUUUUCUGUGGAUCUCUCUGAAAAAUAAAUUAAAAGCUUAAGAUAUGGGAAAUGCAAACGGAAGAGAAGACGGAGCCAACGGAGGCGUCGACCAUCUCUUUGUAAGGUCUAACGGCGGCAAGCCGGUCGUUCGUGGAGCUGCUGCAGUUGCAGUUCGCGUGCGGUCGUCUGAUUCAAUGGCGAACACUCCGCCGCAGAGCCCUCACUGGUCUCGAUCCCCUCUUGUAUGCGCUCCUCAGGUUCGCAUCUUCGAAAUUUCAAUGAUCUUUCCAGGACUUUGAACUUAUUGUAUUUUUAAUAAUAUAAAUUACUCUAAAUAUCCAAAAAUAAAAGAGAUAUUUGGUUUCAAAAUUCAUUUGAAUUAGAACAAAUCUGAGUUUUGAUUAUAUAUUUGAAAAAUUAGCUGAAGAAAAAUAUGUGUGUUGCGUGCCAGAUAAGUAAAUUAAAAAUUUUGAAUUGUUUCUUGGAAUGAGAAGCAGGGGUGUAAAUGAUAUGUUAAUGCUCACAAAUUACUCGGGUCGGCUCGGCUAAAACUCAGGAUUCGGUUCGGUCAUUGCUCCUUAUCGAGCGAGUAAGUUCAAACUCAAGUUCAAACAUGCAUAAUCAAAUUUGAAAUCGAGUAUGAGGAUCAAGUUCAUUUUUAUUAAAUGAGUUUAAUCGAACGAGUUCAAGUAAUUUAAUUUUUAUCUCGAGUCGAAUUCGAACUUAAAAAUUAAAAUUUGAUUGAGUUCGAGCUGAGUUUCAAGCAGUGAAUUUCAAGUCAAGCUUGAGCUUCUCACCUUGGUUCGGCUUGAUUACACAAUAAUGAGAAGAGGAAGACAAUGUUUUUUGCAUAGCAGUGUAAGUUUGUUGCUUUUGAGAAAUUUAUUAGAAGUUUGCGAAGAAAACUGACUAUGAGGUAAUCCACGUAAUUUAGUUUGAAAUCAAGUAUGAGAAUCGAGCUCAUUUUUAUUAAUUAAGCCUAAUCAAGUGAGCAACCUCGAGUAACUUAAUUUUUAUCUUAAAUCGAAUUCAAACUUAAAAAUUAAAACUCGAUUGUGUUCGAAUUAAAUUUCAAACAGCGAAUUUUGAGUCAAGCUCGAGUGUCUUACUGUAUCAACUUGGCUCGGUUUGAUUAGACCUCUAAUUAGUAAUGGAUGACUAUGUUUUUUGCAUAUCAGUGCAACUUUGUUGCUUUUGAGAAAUUUGUUAAGAGUUUGCAAAGAAAACUGACUAGGAAGUAAAAAGGAGUGAUUGAAAAUGGAUACUUUUGUUGGCUCCUUAAAUGUAAUAUAUAGAACAUGCAUUGAUUUGUUACAGUUAAUUGGCUUUUUUUUUUUAAAUUUGUUUUAAAAAGCUUAUUUGCACAUGUUGUAAUGCUUAAGAGGGGACGCUUAGAUGUUUAAAUCUUUAUUAACAUAUUUUGAGCCGAUGAAUAAUGAGAACUAAACACAUACCUGAACACAUGGGGGAAGGGGGAAGAGUGUUUGAUAAAACUUAACCAAUGCCAAUACCCCAAAGUGUUCAACUUUUGGAAACAUGGAACGGAAUCUUCUUUACUGUUGGAAUCCCCAAUCUCUUUGGUCCUUAGAUUGGUUUUUGUCCGUGAGAAUUUUUGCCCCUUUACAUAUGUAUGGUGUUGAUUUCACAUAUGGAUUCUUGUGGAGCUCUAGAUGCUUAAUUUGGAGGGGUGAGUAUACACAAUGCUUUCAAGUAUUUGAUUGUGUUACUUUAGUUAGUUUCUUUUGAUUCGUUGAUCUUCAUCCUGAUCAGAUAGUAAUUUUUCUUUUCUUUUCUUUUUUAAACAAAAUUGUUUUAUCUUUUGACAUCUAUUCAUCAGUUUAUGGUCUGUUAUUGGGAUUGCCAAGAAGUGAGGAGAGGUCGGAGUAGUGUGCUGCUGCUGAUUUACUUAUGAACUAAAGAGUUUUGUCUAUCUGGGCAGUGACCUUUCAACUGAUAGGUUGGUUGUUUUUGGUGCAUUUUUAGGUUACUGCAGCUCCUUAACCAAGAGGUGCUGGCCAUUCCUUUUUCAACCAAAUUUGGCGGAAUUAUUCUCCCGGGGUUGCUGAUAGUCCAUCUGAGAAAGGAAUCCCUGUCAUCAUUACAUGAAAUUAUGGUGGUAAUGAUGUGGCUGUGGAAGGUUCUUGGGAUAAUUGGAGAUCAAGGUAGGUUUUCAGUUCCUUGUGUCAUAGACACUGCCAUUUUCAUGUAGGAAAAAUCCUGUGGUUCAUCUUUUUGUCUGAAACCCAAGCAUGGACGAGUGUUAUUUUCUGCUUGCAGGAAGAGACUGCAAAGAUCUGGUAAGGACCACUCAAUUCUUUUGGUCCUUCCAUCUGGCAUUUACCAUUACAAGUUUAUUGUCGAUGGUGAAUGGAGAUAUAUGCAUGAUCUACCGUUUGUAGCUGAUGAAAUGGGCAAUGUUUGUAAUCUUCUUGAUGUUCAUGUAUGUAUCUUCGUAUAUGCCCACUUGCUCCAACUUGAAUCAUGUGACUUUCAUUUUUACUUCAUGUAAUGUUGUCUAGGCUGGUGUAGUAUAAAUGGCUGGCCAGCAGAACUGGACCUCUGCAAUUUUAGCAUAUUGUUGUUGCAUAAAAAGAGAGGUUUAAGGUAAAUUUGGGUGGUAAAAUCUGUUCAAGGCUAAAUACAAGUGAGAAACUAAUAGCAAACAAGUAUCACAAGUGAAAGAUAAAAAGGACUUUGAAAAUAAAGUAUAAGAGUGCUCGGAAUUGUCAGGAGGAAAACGGAUUGGGAACUGGUGAUGUGUCUAAGUCAAAUGUGGAAUGGCAAGAGUUGGUCCGUUGAUCAGCUUGGGGCAUGAUCGAUGUGGAUUGCAACAGUGGCUCAAGCUUGGGCCUUUUGAAUUUUGAUACACCCGUUUAUACAACGAAGCUCGGGGAAAAAAUUUCCCUCUUGAGCGCCAAGUAUAUAACCAAAGGCAGCUGUGCAAACAUUACGGGCCCUUUCAGCUCAGGUGUUACGGAGCUAAAGAGAAGUCUUGAAUCUCACAUCGAAUAUAAUAGAAAGGUCACUGAAAUAUAUAAAGGUUCACACCACCUCCGUCUUGUGAGACGCCUUUUGUAAGACAAAACCGUGAGAUCAGUGGAGCCAGAGCAGACAAUACCUCACAAGGGUAUGAACCGUGACAGAAAGGCUGAUCUGAGACGCCGGAAUGGUGAAUGCCCGGAUCUCGGAGUGGCGCGAGUUCGGAGCUUAAGUGUCGACCUGUGAUAAGUGGUAUCAGAGUCAGUCCUAAACUGUUCGAUCUACGCCAAACACCUCAAGAGAGGCAGGCAGGGUGAUCAACCUCCAUGACGAAGGCGUCACGAGGUUGAGUGCGAGAGAAUGUCACGGACCUAAGGAAGACUCUUGAAUCCCACAUCGAACAUAAUAAGAGAGUCACUAGAGAAUAUAAGAAUUCACACCACCUCCGCCUUAUGAAGCGCCUUUUGUAAGACAAAACCGUGAGAUCAGAGAGGUCAGAGCGAAUAAUACCUCACAAGGGUGUGAACCGUGACAAGAAGACUGAUCUGGGACGCCAUAAGGAUGAAUGUCCGGGUCCUGGAACCGCACGGAUUCGAAGCUUAAGUCUCGACCUGUGACACAGGCACCUGACUCCCCAAGCCUCGGCACCAGCCAGGCCUUGGUGCGCACCGAUGCCUUGCACAGCCUUGGCAGUUGCCUGGCCCUUGAGAGCUCUCAUGGUGCUUUGCAUCCAAGGCACCAGCCUGGGGCAGUUGUGAGCCCUAGCACCAACCAGGCAUUGUAUUGAGCAAACAAGGAUGAACAGGGAAGAUGAAUGUUACAUACGUUGUGUCAUGUUUAAAGCAUCUCUAUAAUGGUUUUAUGACUUUUACCACCUUAUCUUGGCCGUAACCAUGAUCUAAAUGAUACUUGUCACAUUUUUGCUGCCUUUAUUUGCUUCAUUACGACUCACUGUUUCUUGCAGGACAAUGUACCUGAAAAUCUGGAUAGUGUAACUGAGUUUGAGGCUCCAGGAUCCCCAAAUUCCAGUUAUGGUCAGGCAUUUCCAUCGGAGGAAGAUUUUGCAAAGGAGCCUGUUGUAGUUCCAUCCCAGCUGCAUGUAACUGUCCUCAGUACAGAUAACCAAGAUGGAGCAUCAUCUUCAAAGCCUGAACACGUUGUACUUAACCACCUUUUCAUAGAGAAAGGACGGGCAUCACAGUCUGUUGUCGCCCUGGGAUUGACCCAUAGGUUUGAGUCCAAAUACGUUACUGUUGUACUCCAUAAGCCACUCAAAAGGUAACAUGUACUUUUCCAUUGCUUCACCCUGUAAAGAAUUGAAAGUGACUUUCACACUUGUUUGUUAAGGUACCCCUGUUUUGUAGAUCUGCUUUGACACUUUAACAUGCCCUUUGUUUGUUUUGUUAUACUUUACACGUUUGCUUGCCUUCAAAUGCUUGCCAUGUGUGGUUUUUCUACAGCUUUAUAAACUGCAGUGGUAGUUGAUGUGUAAAAGCAAUUAGGAAAAGCUUUAUUAGACUGGCUUUUGAUCCAACUACUCAAGGAGAAGAGCAAAAAGAAAGUUGUCCUGGAAUUGGACAAUAUAACAUAUACAUCUCAUUAAGCAAGACUUACACAUCUGCGGAUGUACUCUGCUCUGCUUACAGUGAGCUUACAUUUACCUUGAACUAGGCUUGAACCACUAGGUUGCCAAGAUGUUUGUGAUCAUAAAAGUGAAAAAAAAAUGUUAGUGCAAGCAUUGAGAUGCAUGAAUUGGUUUUGUUAUAAGAAAACUAAUUUAGAGAUGAUAACAAUCCCUAGAAAUGAAAGCAUUUACCAUAUAGCUUUUGAAUUAGAUCAUGCUUUACUGUCAAAUGUUCUGUUGAAUGAGGAAGAACUGAAAAUGAAAGAGAAACUAUCCAAUAGUGGAAGUACCAAUUGGCAAUUGAAAUCAUAUAAAAGAAAUCAUUGCUUUAACCCUGCAUACUUAUACCGAUGAAACCACAUACAGAUUAUGUUGCUUACAGUUAAGAACCUCAAGUGAUCUCCUUGACAAACUUGUAACCAUUGCACAUUUGCAUCAACAUACAAACCACAUGGCUAUGUGGCAAUGAUCAUCAUAUGUUGAGGCGGAUUAUCAAAUAAACAUAUGAGAAUACUUGUACCAAACUUAUAAACAACUAGUUCAAUACCUAAUUGUUCUCAAGAAAGAGUAGCUAGCAGUUGUGUGAAUUUGU